UUUUAUCACUGGAAAAAAAUCUCCAAAGUAAAGAAGCUAAUACCAAACAUGGGAAUUGCACGAAAGCCUUAAAACGACAGAAGAAUGUUUCCAAAAACCAGUGUGACCGGUUCAUUAGAGGCAGUUAUAUAACUAUGGAUAUAAGGG
Long non-coding RNA from Belonocnema kinseyi, 147 nucleotides. RefSeq lists it as uncharacterized. NCBI's taxonomy places the organism in Eukaryota, Metazoa, Arthropoda, Insecta, Hymenoptera, Cynipidae. The transcript is spliced from 2 exons. The record is from RefSeq and is a predicted model, not a curated record.